CCCAUUAAUAUUGGGAUACAAAGCUUCUUAGGCAUCUAAGAAAUGUACAAUGAUAGAGCUCAAAAAGUCUCAAAAAAAGGUGAGAUCUCAUCGAAGGGAAGUAAGACACCUCUUUGGCUAAGAAAACCAAAUCCACUAUUUCAGCCAAGGUAUUUCAGCCUCUGACUGCUAUUCCUUACCUAACUUCUCCCAUUGGUUCCCCUGUUAGAGAGGCUAUUACUACUGUCGCUUCAACACCUGCGACCUCAGGCAUUUCUUGUUCACAUUUUCCUUUCCCCAAUCUCCAGUACCCCGAUAUUGAAGCUAUGGUUGGAACUCACCCAGAGAUAUUCCUAGAUUUCUUCAAGCACCAUCACUUUCCAAAGAUAUGAUCUCAUCUUUCCCUUUUACUAUUAGAGACUCAGCUAACCUACUAACAAGAAGCUGUAAUGAAAGAAAACAAAGGUUUUUGGAAGAGAUGUCUAUAGAUGAGGUAUGUAUUACUGCAAAGCUAUACAGUGAUCAUUCUGUUUUAUAUAUGAUGAAUGUGGCCAUGAAGAUAUGUUCCUCUUUUUCUUUUUUCUUUUUGAACUCUCUAUUGAAUAAUCAAAAUUGACUUGUUCAUAGGUCAAUGCUAAGAUUGAAAAAGUGGUUGCUUUGAGGAAUGAGGCCUUAGCUACUUUCUAGGUUGUUAAGGCUGACAAAGUCCAAAAGACAAAGGAGAAGAAAGAACAUGAGCAUAGACUUUGCACCUUGGAGGCCGAACUAAAGGCUAAGGUCGUUGUUAGGUCUAAGCUUGAGAAAGAGUUGGCAUCAACUAAGUUACAGAGUGAGGAGGCCAACAUUUGAGCUUACAAUGAAAAAUUGAAGGAUGAAGAGGAAUGAAAAAAUAUCGAUGAGGUAGAUGCUAGGACAAUCAAAGCCAUAGAGCUCUAGAAAGUGUUUCCAAAGUUCAACGCAUUGGCUCAGAAUGCCCACAUCGUCAGCUUGGUCGAGGUGAUAAUGCACAUAGAAAAAAUACAACUGUGUUUGCACUUCAUCAAAAGACAAAUAGUAGUCUUCAUGCCUUUUUGAUGUUUAUCUGUAAUACCUCUUUUAGUUAGGUUGAUCAAGAUAGGUCUUUUUAAUCUGGCCUCCCAAGCAU
This 1123-nucleotide long non-coding RNA is filed under the name Olea europaea subsp. europaea. The record is from RNAcentral. Lineage: Eukaryota; Viridiplantae; Streptophyta; Magnoliopsida; Lamiales; Oleaceae.